UACGUAGGGUGCAAGCGUUGUCCGGAAUUAUUGGGCGUAAAGAGCGUGUAGGCGGCCCCGUUAGUCCGCUGUGAAAGUCCAGGGCUCAACCCUGGAAUGCCGGUGGAUACUGUCGGGCUAGAGUCCGGAAGAGGCGAGUGGAAUUCCUGGUGUAGCGGUGGAAUGCGCAGAUAUCAGGAGGAACACCAAUAGCGAAGGCAGCUCGCUGGGACGGUACUGACGCUGAGGCGCGAAAGCGUGGGGAGCGAACAGG
Molecule: ribosomal RNA, 253 nt
Filed under: uncultured bacterium
Lineage: Bacteria
Description: partial 16S ribosomal RNA
Rfam family: Bacterial small subunit ribosomal RNA
Source: RNAcentral